GUGGGGUCAGUGGGAUCAGUGUGGAUCAAUGUGGGGUGUUAGUGGGGGACCAGUGUGGGGUCAGGGUUAGUGUCUGUCUGUAACACUCUGCACUGAUCCGAGGUCUGUGUUAGGCUCCGCCCCUCAAUCGUCUGCUUGUGUUUGCAGGUGGAAGGCAGUGACGCGUGCUCUCAGCCGGAGGAUCUGCGAGUGUCCGGUGUGUCCGACAGCUGGUGGUUCUCGAUGCUGAUUCUGCCGCCGCUGUUUAA
Danio rerio (zebrafish) is the source of this 248-nucleotide non-coding RNA. The record is from RefSeq and is a predicted model, not a curated record. Lineage: Eukaryota; Metazoa; Chordata; Actinopteri; Cypriniformes; Danionidae.